RNAcentral lists this ribosomal RNA (403 nucleotides) under bacterium. RNAcentral's name for it is "partial 16S ribosomal RNA". It matches the Rfam family "Bacterial small subunit ribosomal RNA", at positions 355 to 776 of the family's 1533-position model. The record is from RNAcentral.
UGGGGAAUAUUGCACAAUGGGGGAAACCCUGAUGCAGCGACGCCGCGUGAACGAAGAAGGUAUUCGUAUCGUAAAGCUCUGUCCUAUGGGAAGAUAAUGACAGUACCAUAGAAGAAAGCUCCGGCUAAAUACGUGCCAGCAGCCGCGGUAAUACGUAUGGAGCGAGCGUUGUCCGGAAUUAUUGGGCGUAAAGGGUACGCAGGCGGUUUAAUAAGUCGAAUGUUAAAGAUCGGGGCUCAACCCCGCAAAGCAUUGGAAACUGAUAAACUUGAGUAGUGGAGAGGAAAGUGGAAUUCCUAGUGUAGUGGUGAAAUACGUAGAUAUUAGGAGGAAUACCAGUAGCGAAGGCGACUUUCUGGACACAAACUGACGCUGAGGUACGAAAGCGUGGGGAGCAAACAGG